UAAGGAAUAUUGGUCAAUGGACGAAAGUCUGAACCAGCCAUGCCGCGUGGAGGAUGAAGGCCCUCUGGGUUGUAAACUUCUUUUAUAGGGGACGAAAAAGGGUCUUUCUAGAUCAACUGACGGUACCCUAGGAAUAAGCACCGGCUAACUCCGUGCCAGCAGCCGCGGUAAUACGGAGGGUGCAAGCGUUAUCCGGAUUCACUGGGUUUAAAGGGUGCGUAGGUGGGUUAGUAAGUCAGUGGUGAAAUCUUCGAGCUUAACUCGGAAACUGCCAUUGAUAGUAUUAGUCGUGAAUAGUGUGGAGGUUAGCGGAAUAUGUCAUGUAGAGGUGAAAUGCUUAGAUAAGACAGAGAACACCAAUUGCGAAGGCAGCUGGCUACACAUAUAUGGACACUGAGGAACGAAAGCGUGGGGAUUAAAC
Molecule: ribosomal RNA, 421 nt
Filed under: uncultured bacterium
Lineage: Bacteria
Description: bacterial SSU rRNA
Rfam family: Bacterial small subunit ribosomal RNA
Source: RNAcentral